AUGGCCGCGGUCGGACGUGUUCGCAUGUCCGUCUGAGGAACUUCCGGGCUCCAUAGAGCACGAUGGCGGAUAACGUCCGCCCAGGGUGACCUGAGAGAUAGCGCAGCAGAGAACAGACCGCCUUUCGGUUUCGGCCGGAAGGUAAGGGUGAAACGGCGGUGUAAGAGACCACCGGGCCCCUGGUAACAGUGGGUCGCUUGGCAAGCCUCAUCGGGAGCAAGGCCAAACAGAUGGCGGCAAGGGCUGCUCGCCCGUGCCAUCGGGUAGGCUGCUAGAGCCCAGCGGUGACGUUGGGUCGAGAUGGAUGGCCAUCCGUGUGCCUGGCACACGACAGAACCCGGGGUAUAAGAGGUCUC
This 356-nucleotide RNase P RNA is filed under the name Bifidobacterium merycicum. Its description in RNAcentral is "Bacterial RNase P class A". It matches the Rfam family "Bacterial RNase P class A". From Rfam's summary of the family: Ribonuclease P (RNase P) is a ubiquitous endoribonuclease, found in archaea, bacteria and eukarya as well as chloroplasts and mitochondria. Lineage: Bacteria; Bacillati; Actinomycetota; Actinomycetes; Bifidobacteriales; Bifidobacteriaceae. The record is from RNAcentral.